Salvia hispanica is the source of this 2064-nucleotide RNA transcript. It is a transcript of the gene named G-box-binding factor 1-like, with no coding region annotated. The record is from RefSeq and is a predicted model, not a curated record. Lineage: Eukaryota; Viridiplantae; Streptophyta; Magnoliopsida; Lamiales; Lamiaceae.
AAAGUUAUCCGUAAGGAAAGAAAAGAAAAAAGGAAAAAGAAAAACAAAAAAGUCGGGCAUGAGUCAUCGCAAACACUUGGUUGCCGCGUCACGUCUAUCCACUCAGUUUCCGCCAGCUGGAUUCCUCUUCCCCCUCACGCGUCACCCUCCAAAACCCUACCCAUCCACCCACCCCAUGCCGCAACCGUGCUCCACCACCACCAUCACCGCAGUUACUUCACUUUAAUUACCUCUACUCAUUCAUUUUCGAUUUUUCCGCUACUUCACUACUUCCUCAUGAUUUCUGCGUAGCGGCUCAGUUUUUCGAUUUCUGGUUUCCGUUUUUCCUCUCCUCAACUUCAGGGAACAGAAUCUUACCGUUGGAUCUCAGCUAGAUUCACGGCUGUCUGUGUCUGCUGUAGUUAAUUUCUAGGCUUGUAAUUACCGCCAACAACUGAAAUUGAGCUUCUCGCCUGCCUGACUCGGAUUCCUUUUCCUUCCACCUCAUACCAGGUUUUAUCUCUUUUAUUGUAAAGUACCAAAAUCCGGUAAAAGAAUCACCCAAACAGGGUUAGAAAUUUUGGGUACAAUCUGUUGCUGUUCUAAUGGGCACCGGGGAAGAAAGCGCUCCAUCAAAAUCAUCCAAACCUGCAUCCGCAGCGCAGGAAGCACCCGCUACACCUAAUACGCCUGUGUAUCCUGAUUGGUCAAGUAAUAUGCAGGCCUUUUAUGGUGCUGGGGCAGCUCCACCUUUCUUUGCCUCAACUGUGGCUUCACCCACUCCCCAUCCUUACAUGUGGGGAGGUCAGCACCCUAUGAUGCCACCUUAUGGGACCCCAGUUCCAUAUCCAGCUUUAUAUCCUCCUGGGGGAAUCUAUGCUCACCCUAAUAUGGCUACGCCACCAGGUUUUGUACAUGGGACUGCAGAAUCAGAUGGGAAAGGAACUGAUGGGAAGGACCGCUCGUCAAGCAAAAUAACCAAGGGGGCUUCAGCAAAUCAUGGCAUGAUUAGUGGAAAGAGUGGGGAUGGUGGGAAAACAGCUUCUGGCUCUGGAAAUGAUGGUACCCACAGUGCUGAAAGUGGUAGUGAAGGUUCAUCAGAUGCAAGUGAUGAAAACAAUAACCAGGACUUCUCGGCAUCCAAGAAAGGAAGCUUUGACCGGAUGCUUGCUGAUGGGGCUAACGCACAGAACCAUGGUGUCCCUACUAAUUUCCCAAAUUCUGUUCCUGGCAAUCCUGUAGUAUCUGUCCCUGCAACUAACUUGAAUAUUGGCAUGGAUUUGUGGAAUGCUACUCCAGCUGGAUCUGGGCCCAUGAAAUCCCGGCCAAAUUCAGUUGGUGUUGCUCAGGCUGUUGCUCAAUCUGGCAUGAUGAAUGAUCAGUGGAUUCAACAGGACGAACGUGAAUUAAAAAGGCAGAAGAGAAAGCAAUCUAAUCGUGAGUCUGCUCGGAGGUCAAGAUUACGGAAACAGGUUCAUAUAUUGGAAGGACUUAUCUGGCGUUCUGAAUAUCAAUGCCUCUUGUAUGUUCUUGGUAGGCUGAGUGUGAAGAGCUACAGCACAGGGUGGAAUCAUUAAAUAGUGAGAAUCGUAGUCUCAGAGACGAGCUACAAAGGCUUUCUGAGGAAUGCGAGAAACUUACAUCAGAGAAUAACUCUAUAAAGGACGAGUUAACUAAAAUGUUGGGGGCAGACGCCGUAAGUAAAUUAGAGAAUGGCAAGUCAGAUACACAUGGGUGCAGUGGAGAUGAAGAAGGUAACUGUUAGUGAGAAAUUGACAAGCUGCGUAGAAUUUUCUCUUUAGUUUGAAGUCAUACUGCUGUGCUUACUAAUCCUCUUAAUAUCCCUAAUUCUUCUACUAGUGUUGUAAUACUUAAAUUAACUUUAGGUAUACCAGGAGUAAGGAUCCCAUUCUGUUUUUAAAUUUAGUGAUGGAGUAAUUUUAUGGCUUCUGUUGCUUCUAACCGAAUGUAUUUCUUUUUCCUUGAGCAUCCAAGAUGUAAUUCUUUCUUCUCUUGUUGGAGAUGUAACAUUAAUACAAGUCUCAACUAUCAUUAUAAUAUUUAUACUAGUGACUUUUCAUAUCA